This 72-nucleotide transfer RNA is filed under the name Camelus bactrianus (Bactrian camel). It matches the Rfam family "tRNA". From Rfam's summary of the family: Transfer RNA (tRNA) molecules are approximately 80 nucleotides in length. Their secondary structure includes four short double-helical elements and three loops (D, anti-codon, and T loops). Further hydrogen bonds mediate the characteristic L-shaped molecular structure. tRNAs have two regions of fundamental functional importance: the anti-codon, which is responsible for specific mRNA codon recognition, and the 3' end, to which the tRNAs corresponding amino acid is attached (by aminoacyl-tRNA synthetases). tRNAs cope with the degeneracy of the genetic code in two manners: having more than one tRNA (with a specific anti-codon) for a particular amino acid; and 'wobble' base-pairing, i.e. permitting non-standard base-pairing at the 3rd anti-codon position. The record is from Rfam by way of RNAcentral. Lineage: Eukaryota; Metazoa; Chordata; Mammalia; Artiodactyla; Camelidae. RNAcentral also lists the same sequence under 1 other name.
GGGGGUAUAACUCAGUGGUAGAAUGCAUGCCUAACAUGCAUGAGGUCCAGGGUUCAAUCCCCAGUACCUCUA